GACGAACGCUGGCGGCGUGCUUAACACAUGCAAGUCGAGCGGUAAGGCCCUUUCGGGGGUACGACGAGCGGCGAACGGGUGAGUAACACGUGGGUGACCUGCCCUCAGCUCUGGGAUAAGCCUGGGAAACCGGGUACUAAUACCGGAUAUGACUCCAUGACGCAUGUUGUGGGGUGGAAAGCCUUGUGCGGCUGAGGAUGGGCCCGCGGCCUAUCAGCUUGUUGGUGGGGUGAUGGCCUACCAAGGCGACGACGGGUAGCCGGCCUGAGAGGGCGACCGGCCACACUGGGACUGAGACACGGCCCAGACUCCUACGGGAGGCAGCAGUGGGGAAUCUUGCGCAAUGGGCGAAAGCCUGACGCAGCGACGCCGCGUGAGGGAUGACGGCCU
RNAcentral lists this ribosomal RNA (390 nucleotides) under uncultured bacterium. RNAcentral describes it as "bacterial SSU rRNA". It matches the Rfam family "Bacterial small subunit ribosomal RNA", at positions 28 to 417 of the family's 1533-position model. The record is from RNAcentral.